AGUGAACGCUGGCGGUAGGCCUAACACAUGCAAGUCGAACGGCAGCACAGUAAGAGCUUGCUCUUACGGGUGGCGAGUGGCGGACGGGUGAGGAAUACAUCGGAAUCUACUUUUUCGUGGGGGAUAACGUAGGGAAACUUACGCUAAUACCGCAUACGACCUACGGGUGAAAGCAGGGGAUCUUCGGACCUUGCGCGAUUGAAUGAGCCGAUGUCGGAUUAGCUAGUUGGCGGGGUAAAGGUCCACCAAGGCGACGAUCCGUAGCUGGUCUGAGAGGAUGAUCAGCCACACUGGAACUGAGACACGGUCCAGACUCCUACGGGAGGCAGCAGUGGGGAAUAUUGGACAAUGGGCGCAAGCCUGAUCCAGCCAUACCGCGUGGGUGAAGAAGGCCUUCGGGUUGUAAAGCCCUUUUGUUGGGAAAGAAAAGCAGCAGGUUAAUACCCCGCUGUUCUGGCGGUACCCAAAGAAUAAGCACCGGCUAACUUCGUG
RNAcentral lists this ribosomal RNA (492 nucleotides) under uncultured bacterium. RNAcentral's name for it is "partial 16S ribosomal RNA". It matches the Rfam family "Bacterial small subunit ribosomal RNA", at positions 29 to 507 of the family's 1533-position model. The record is from RNAcentral.